AGGAUAAACGCUGGCGGCGUGCUUUAAGCAUGCAAGUCGAACGGAUGCUCGCAAGAGUAUGAGUGGCAGACGGCUGAGGAAGACGGAAGGAACCUACCCUUCAGAGGGGGAUAACUCCGCGAAAGCGGGGCUAAGACCGCGUACGCUCAUUCUGGGGAGAACGGAGUGAGGAAAACUGAAAGGUGCUGAGGGAGGGGCUUCCGGCCCAUCAGGUAGUUGGUGAGGUAACGGCCCACCAAGCCGAUGACGGGUCGCUGGUCUAAGAGGAUGAUCAGCCAGACUGGGACUGAGACACGGCCCAGACUCCUACGGGAGGCAGCAGCUAGGAAUCUUGCGCAAUGGGCGAAAGCCUGACGCAGCGACGCCGCGUGGGGAUGAAGGUUUUCGGAUUGUAAACCCCUUUUCGGUGGGACGAGAAUGGACGGUACCAUCGGAAGAGCCCGGCUAACUACGCGCCAGCAGCCGC
RNAcentral lists this ribosomal RNA (466 nucleotides) under uncultured bacterium. RNAcentral describes it as "SSU rRNA". It matches the Rfam family "Bacterial small subunit ribosomal RNA", at positions 26 to 518 of the family's 1533-position model. The record is from RNAcentral.